Molecule: long non-coding RNA, 593 nt
Organism: Lates calcarifer (barramundi perch)
Lineage: Eukaryota; Metazoa; Chordata; Actinopteri; Centropomidae
Exons: 2
Source: RefSeq, a predicted model, not a curated record
AAUAAUUACAUGGUUACGUGCAAAAUACAUUCAAGCAGCAAUUGUGUGUUUAAAAUUUUCAAUGCAGAUAUGAUUUUAGCUCUUUAAUUAUUGUUUUGGCCCAAAAGAACAUUUAGACAUACCAAAGGAAAACACGCACAGAUAAACACAGCCCUGGAAUCUGCGUGGCAUUUUUGCUUUAACUUCCUCUCAUGUUUUUCAAAAUAAGUUUUAUUUUAGUGUUAUUUACAGAGAGAGAGGACCACUAAUGCAGAAGCCCAGGUGCAGAGGUGAUCAUACUGCUUUCAAAUCCAGUGAUAUGAUGGUAGACAGCAGGUGUUUGCAGAAGAUGGACACCUUGUGCGGAAACAAUUUCACUGCAGACACACACACCAUGAUGUCAAGGUAACCAGCAUGACUUCUCCUAAUGAUACUCAAUAAUGAUCAGGCAGCACUAUAUCACAUAUCCUUUAUUUAGAAAAGGUACAGCUGUCAACUUUCUCACUCUCUGAGGUAGUGUCACAUAAUUUCCUUUUGUUUCUUCACAUCAUCAUAAAUAAUGCUCAGCGAAUAUAAACAUCACUGAGUGAGCUCUGAUCUUUCAGGCCGUGGAA